CUCGGAUCAGGUAGGGAUACCCGCUGAACUUAAGCAUAUCAAUAAGCCGGAGGA
This 54-nucleotide ribosomal RNA is filed under the name Lophodermium conigenum. Its description in RNAcentral is "partial 28S ribosomal RNA". The record is from RNAcentral. Lineage: Eukaryota; Fungi; Ascomycota; Leotiomycetes; Rhytismatales; Rhytismataceae.